This 513-nucleotide small RNA is filed under the name Pan troglodytes (chimpanzee). RNAcentral's name for it is "retained intron". Lineage: Eukaryota; Metazoa; Chordata; Mammalia; Primates; Hominidae. The record is from RNAcentral.
AAGGUGUUCGUCCGGAAGCUCCGGAAGGCUUAUGGGAAGAGCGAGUGGAACACUGUAGAGCGUUUAAAGGACAAUAAGCCCAACUACAAACUUGACCACAUCAUCAAGGAACGGUACCCCACGUUCAUCGAUGCCCUGCGGGACCUGGACGAUGCCCUCUCCAUGUGCUUCCUGUUUUCCACCUUCCCACGGACUGGCAAGUGCCACGUGCAGACCAUUCAGCUGUGCCGCCGGCUCACUGUGGAGUUCAUCCACUACAUUAUUGCUGCCCGUGCCCUGCGCAAGGUCUUCCUGUCCAUCAAAGGCAUUUACUACCAGGCCGAGGUACUGGGGCAGCCCAUCGUGUGGAUCACUCCCUAUGCCUUCUCCCAUGACGUGAGUGUGCCUGUUGGGAGGGGACGGGCUUGUGCUGCCUCCUAGACAGAUACGGAUGUGGAGGAAGGGGGAUUUUGCUGUCCAUGGAGUUUAGCAAGUGCUGGGUUCCCAACUGUUGACAAGGGGUGAGGCGCGGCA